RNAcentral lists this ribosomal RNA (1097 nucleotides) under Clusiodes albimanus. Its description in RNAcentral is "partial 16S ribosomal RNA". The stretch from base 849 to 1008 matches the Rfam family "Archaeal large subunit ribosomal RNA", at positions 2542 to 2701 of the family's 2987-position model. The record is from RNAcentral. Lineage: Eukaryota; Metazoa; Arthropoda; Insecta; Diptera; Clusiidae.
UCUUGAUUUUAUAAGAGUUAUUAUAAUAUUUAAGUUUAUGUUAUAAAAUAAUUUUAUAUAUUAUAAUAGAAAUGAAAUGUUAUUCGUUUUUAAAGGUAUCUAGUUAUUUAAGAAAUGAAUUUAAUUCAGAAAUAUUAAUUUAUUUAUUUUUUUAUAAAAUAAAUACUUUAUUAUUUUUAAUGUUUUACGGGAUAAGCUGUAAAACAAAUUUAUUAAAAAUUUAAUUAAAUAAUAUAAAAAUAUAUGCUUAGAAAUAGCAAGUAUUUAUAAUUAUGUUAUAAUUUAUUUAUAGUUUAAGAUUAUUUAUUAAAAUUUUAAUUUUUUUAUUAAAUUUUUUAUUUUAAUUUUAAAAAUUAAUUAAUAAUGAUUAAAUUAGUAUAUUUAUUGUAUAAAUAAAUUUAUUUGUGAAGUUUUUAUAAAGAAUUCGGCAAAUUUAGUAUUCGCCUGUUUAACAAAAACAUGUCUUUUGGUAUUUAAUAAAAAGUCUGACCUGCCCAUUGAGUAGUUUAAAGGCCGCAGUAUAUUAACUGUGCAAAGGUAGCAUAAUCAUUAGUCUUUUAAUUGAAGGCUAGAAUGAAUGGUUGGACGAGAUAUUUACUGUUUCAUAAGAAUUUAUAAUAGAAUUUUAUUUUUUAGUCAAAAAGCUAAAAUAAAUUUAAAAGACGAGAAGACCCUAUAAAUCUUUAUAUAUUAAUUUGUUUAAAAGUUAUGUAGAAAUUUUAAAUUUUAUACAUUUUAUAUAUUUUAUUGGGGUGAUAUUAAAAUUUAAUAAACUUUUAGUAAAUUAUUUCAUUUAUUUAUGAAUUAUUGAUCCAGUUUUAUUGAUUAAAAAUUUAAGUUACUUUAGGGAUAACAGCGUAAUUUUUUUGGAGAGUUCAUAUCGAUAAAAAAGAUUGCGACCUCGAUGUUGGAUUAAGAUAUAAUUUUAGGUGUAGCCGUUUAAAUUUUAAGUCUGUUCGACUUUUAAAUUCUUACAUGAUCUGAGUUCAAACCGGCGUAAGCCAGGUUGGUUUCUAUCUUUAAAUAAUUAUUAUAUUUUAGUACGAAAGGAUUGAGUAUAAAAAUUAAUAAAUUUUUAAAAAGAAUUUUAUUAAUAA